Osmerus eperlanus (European smelt) is the source of this 491-nucleotide long non-coding RNA. RefSeq lists it as uncharacterized. The transcript is spliced from 4 exons. NCBI's taxonomy places the organism in Eukaryota, Metazoa, Chordata, Actinopteri, Osmeriformes, Osmeridae. The record is from RefSeq and is a predicted model, not a curated record.
UCAUCAAAUCCCUGCUACUACCAUGUUGACAUUCAGUGCUGGACAGACUGGUUUGACAGGGACGACCCCACUGGGAAUGGAGACUUUGAGACCCUGGCGGAUCUACGCUCUGAGUACCCUGGAAAGAUCUGUCCCAGUCCUGUACAGAUUGAGGUCACCACCAUCAAUGGAGUGAGUCACACUGCAACAGGGAACGUAUUUGCAGCGGUUGACACGACCACAGGCUUUGUCUGUAACAACCGCGACCAGAAACCCGGAACAUGCUGUGAGGACUACCGUGUUCGCUUCAGCUGCCAUCCACCAUUUUGUGGAUUAGGAGUGUGCUGGAGCAAGUGGUACGAUAGUGACAACCCUAGUGGGACAGGAGACUGGGAGCUCCUCAGUGGCCUGCAGGAGGCCUACCCUGGGUCCAUCUGUGCUCAUCCCCUCUACUUAGAGAGCGUCACCGUGGACACCAAUACACCUGCCAUCAGUACUGGGCAACAUUUCUA